UGAGGAAUAUUGGACAAUGGAUGGAAAUCUGAUCCAGCCAUGCCGCGUGCAGGAAGACGGCCCUAUGGGUUGUACACUGCUUUUGUAUGGGAGCAAUAAGGUCUAUGCGUAGACUGAUGAGAGUACCAUACGAAUAAGCAUCGGCUAACUCCGUGCCAGCAGCCGCGGUAAUACGGGGGAUGCAAGCGUUAUCCGGAUGUAUUGGGUUUAAAGGGUGCGUAGGCGGUUUGAUACGUCAGCGGUGAAAUAUUUCAGCUUAACUGAAAGGGUGCCGUUGAUACGGUCAGGCUUGAAUAUGGUGGCUGUGGGUGGAAUGUGUGGUGUAGCGGUGAAAUGCUUAGAUAUCACACAGAAUAUCGAUUGCGAAGGCAGCUCACAAAGCCAUUAUUGACGCUGAUGCACGAAAGUGUGGGGAUCAAACA
This 422-nucleotide ribosomal RNA is filed under the name uncultured prokaryote. RNAcentral describes it as "bacterial SSU rRNA". It matches the Rfam family "Bacterial small subunit ribosomal RNA", at positions 355 to 774 of the family's 1533-position model. The record is from RNAcentral.